RNAcentral lists this ribosomal RNA (393 nucleotides) under uncultured Ehrlichia sp. Its description in RNAcentral is "bacterial SSU rRNA". It matches the Rfam family "Bacterial small subunit ribosomal RNA", at positions 62 to 478 of the family's 1533-position model. The record is from RNAcentral. Lineage: Bacteria; Pseudomonadati; Pseudomonadota; Alphaproteobacteria; Rickettsiales; Anaplasmataceae.
UCGAACGGACAAUUAUUUAUAGCCUCUGGCUAUAGGAAAUUGUUAGUGGCAGACGGGUGAGUAAUGCGUAGGAAUCUACCUAGUAGUACGGAAUAGCCAUUAGAAAUGGUGGGUAAUACUGUAUAAUCCCCGAGGGGGAAAGAUUUAUCGCUAUUAGAUAAGCCUACGUUAGAUUAGCUAGUUGGUGAGGUAAUGGCUUACCAAGGCUAUGAUCUAUAGCUGGUCUGAGAGGACGAUCAGCCACACUGGAACUGAGAUACGGUCCAGACUCCUACGGGAGGCAGCAGUGGGGAAUAUUGGACAAUGGGCGAAAGCCUGAUCCAGCUAUGCCGCGUGAGUGAAGAAGGCCUUCGGGUUGUAAAACUCUUUCAAUAGGGAAGAUAAUGACGGUAC